CAUGGCAUGGGCAAUAGAUCGACUGGCUGGUGCAUCAGACCUGGAGCUGCAACAGAGGCAGAUACUUGAAGUACAAAGCAAGAACUCUAUCACACCCCUUCCAACUUAUUUUGAAGCAAAGAUCAGUAAUAUUGCCUCGUUUUAAAAAAUGAAAAAAAUCUGGAACAAAUGGUAACCAGACAAUACACCAGGACAGCAGGUGUAAAAAAGACUAGAGAAGCAUGAAGACUGACUAUCACCCUGGUUGCAGAGAUUGACCUGACCACAUGGAAAGGAAUAACUUCUGAACCCAGAGAUGCUCUCAGUUCCCCUGUUGUCCUCCUGCUUUGCUUAGCAUUCGUAUUUACAAUGCAUCUUUCUUCUGAAGAUCUAAAGGCUCUGAAACUCAUGUUAUUGUCAUAGGGCUGUGACUCAAAUAUAUGCAAAUUUAAAUUUAAAUUUAAAAAGAGAAUGAUUAAUUUAGAGGAAGCCUUGCUUACUUGGUGCUGACUUGCUUCUUUUUCCUGUGUUGAGCAUGAAUUUUCUGAAUCAGCAAGUGUAUCCCUCUGCAGUGGAAUGGUGACCCAGCAUCUCUCUUUGUUGAAUCAGAGGGUGCUGUAUAUUCGCAUUUCCUUUGGGUUGACUGUCUACAUGAAGCUCUGUCAUACGUACUUUUUAUUCAUGCAACGCAUCAGGUAACCAGCAGCAGCAAAGGUUAACUCCUAGGGAUGCCAGCAGGACUUCUUAUUCAGAGGAAAUGGUUUGUGAUAAAGAAUCAUCUGCAGCUAAAGGCUUUUAUUCCCCUUCCAAGCUUGUUUUCACGUUUAAAUAUUGCUUAUAUGGAAAAAAGCCAGUGAUAUUUUGAGUGUGUGUGCAUUAUUUUUUAAGUCGAGGUGAUUCUAAUAUGAUCAGCAGAAAUCAUGAAUGACUAAUUUGGGCUCUGCUUGUUACAAAAACAUCUGUGUGAUUUCUUUUUCUGAUAAGUACAUUUGAUUGAGGGUAUUCCAGAAAAUUCUGCUUUUCACAUUUUAAUACUCUUGGGAAAUAUUUAUUUAUGCUUAUUGUGUGCACAGCUCUGUACUAGACACUGGGAAGGGAGGUUAUUGGAAGGAGAGAGGAAUGAGACAUCCAGAAAGCCGCAACAGACUCAGCCCUCAGAAGGGCUUAUUAUCUGGAGGAGGAGGCAUCGCAUAUACACACCGGACAGCCGGGAAAAUGAUUGGCCUCUUUUGUUGACUAUGUGAUGUGAGAUCUCCAGUUUCCAAACCGGGACCUUAAAGUUGGAAUUACUGCUGCUAAUACAUCUGGUUCUAGCAAUGGCCUUUCAGAUCUUUUGAUUUCAAAUAUUCAUGCAAACAUCACACUUCAUUAAUCAGCCCAUGCUGGAUUAAUAAUAUCCAAGUUAACUGGAAGUAAUAGAAAAUAUGAAGAAGAGGGGGAAACAUUCUCCAAAUUUAAAUCUCUUUUAUUUUCUAGCUUUAGUGCUAACUUAAUGUGCUUUCUGUUCUGAGCAACACUUUCCUAACUUUUGUCUUUCCUGUUCGUCCCUACCCCAAUCAUAAAACUACUGAGUAGCUCUUUAAAAAUAACCAUUACCCAGGGGAAGAAAAAAAAAAUGAAAGGAUGGUGUUAAAGUCUUUUCACUGUGAAGGAGAAGGGAAGAACGUUCUAGGGGAAUGCUAAAUACAUUUUCAUAGAAUAUUAGGCUCAGGAAGCCUCUCAGAGAUUGAGUUGAAUAUUCCUCCAGCAGAAAGUUCCGGUUUUCCAAUCUCUGACUUGCUCAAGUAGUUCCAAAGGCUUCACGUGCUUCAGAUGACUUCGAGAUGACUCCUUUGUGUGUCCCACUCACAAGGAUUAGUCAGAGUUUUCUCCUUUGCAGGUGACAGAAAGCUGAUUCAGUGUAGCUGAUGCAAAAAUAGGAAUCUUUUGCUCUAGGUAAGUGGGUAGACAUAGCUGAACCCAGGAAUUUGUGGGCUGUCAUUAAUGAUCUUGUCUCCUUUCUCUGUGUGGGUUCAAUAUCAGGCAUCCUCUUCUCAUGUUGUGGCAAUGAUAGCUACUAGCAGCGAUCAACUUAUAUUAUCCUUUUACCUAGGGAUUAUAGUGAAAAGCCCAAGCCUCUUUCUUUCUUUCUUUCCUUUCCUUUUUUUUUUUUUUAAAGAUGUUUUAUUUAUUUAUUCGUGAGAGACACACACAC
Molecule: long non-coding RNA, 2173 nt
Organism: Canis lupus familiaris (dog)
Lineage: Eukaryota; Metazoa; Chordata; Mammalia; Carnivora; Canidae
Exons: 3
Source: RefSeq, a predicted model, not a curated record